Molecule: ribosomal RNA, 1521 nt
Filed under: Salmonella enterica subsp. enterica serovar Enteritidis
Lineage: Bacteria; Pseudomonadati; Pseudomonadota; Gammaproteobacteria; Enterobacterales; Enterobacteriaceae
Description: partial 23S ribosomal RNA
Rfam family: Bacterial large subunit ribosomal RNA
Source: RNAcentral
CUGACAUAAGUAACGAUAAAGCGGGUGAAAAGCCCGCUCGCCGGAAGACCAAGGGUUCCUGUCCAACGUUAAUCGGGGCAGGGUGAGUCGACCCCUAAGGCGAGGCCGAAAGGCGUAGUCGAUGGGAAACGGGUUAAUAUUCCCGUACUUGGUGUUACUGCGAAGGGGGGACGGAGAAGGCUAUGUUGGCCGGGCGACGGUUGUCCCGGUUUAAGCGUGUAGGCUGGUUUUCCAGGCAAAUCCGGAAAAUCAAGGCUGAGGCGUGAUGACGAGGCACUACGGUGCUGAAGCAACAAAUGCCCUGCUUCCAGGAAAAGCCUCUAAGCAUCAGGUAACAUCAAAUCGUACCCCAAACCGACACAGGUGGUCAGGUAGAGAAUACCAAGGCGCUUGAGAGAACUCGGGUGAAGGAACUAGGCAAAAUGGUGCCGUAACUUCGGGAGAAGGCACGCUGACACGUAGGUGAAGUGAUUUACUCACGGAGCUGAAGUCAGUCGAAGAUACCAGCUGGCUGCAACUGUUUAUUAAAAACACAGCACUGUGCAAACACGAAAGUGGACGUAUACGGUGUGACGCCUGCCCGGUGCCGGAAGGUUAAUUGAUGGGGUCAGCGCAAGCGAAGCUCCUGAUCGAAGCCCCGGUAAACGGCGGCCGUAACUAUAACGGUCCUAAGGUAGCGAAAUUCCUUGUCGGGUAAGUUCCGACCUGCACGAAUGGCGUAAUGAUGGCCAGGCUGUCUCCACCCGAGACUCAGUGAAAUUGAACUCGCUGUGAAGAUGCAGUGUACCCGCGGCAAGACGGAAAGACCCCGUGAACCUUUACUAUAGCUUGACACUGAACAUUGAGCCUUGAUGUGUAGGAUAGGUGGGAGGCUUUGAAGCGUGGACGCCAGUCUGCGUGGAGCCGACCUUGAAAUACCACCCUUUAAUGUUUGAUGUUCUAACGUGGACCCGUUACCCGGGUUGCGGACAGUGUCUGGUGGGUAGUUUGACUGGGGCGGUCUCCUCCUAAAGAGUAACGGAGGAGCACGAAGGUUGGCUAAUCCUGGUCGGACAUCAGGAGGUUAGUGCAAUGGCAUAAGCCAGCUUGACUGCGAGCGUGACGGCGCGAGCAGGUGCGAAAGCAGGUCAUAGUGAUCCGGUGGUUCUGAAUGGAAGGGCCAUCGCUCAACGGAUAAAAGGUACUCCGGGGAUAACAGGCUGAUACCGCCCAAGAGUUCAUAUCGACGGCGGUGUUUGGCACCUCGAUGUCGGCUCAUCACAUCCUGGGGCUGAAGUAGGUCCCAAGGGUAUGGCUGUUCGCCAUUUAAAGUGGUACGCGAGCUGGGUUUAGAACGUCGUGAGACAGUUCGGUCCCUAUCUGCCGUGGGCGCUGGAGAACUGAGGGGGGCUGCUCCUAGUACGAGAGGACCGGAGUGGACGCAUCACUGGUGUUCGGGUUGUCAUGCCAAUGGCACUGCCCGGUAGCUAAAUGCGGAAGAGAUAAGUGCUGAAAGCAUCUAAGCACGAAACUUGCCCCGAG